UGGGGAAUCUUGGACAAUGGGCGCAAGCCUGAUCCAGCCAUGCCGCGUGAGUGAAGAAGGCCUUAGGGUUGUAAAACUCUUUCGCCGGAGAAGAUAAUGACGGUAUCCGGAGAAGAAGCCCCGGCUAACUUCGUGCCAGCAGCCGCGGUAAUACGAAGGGGGCUAGCGUUGUUCGGAAUUACUGGGCGUAAAGCGCACGUAGGCGGGUUUGUAAGUAGGGGGUGAAAUCCCAGGGCUCAACCCUGGAACUGCCUUCUAAACUGCAAGCCUGGAGGUCAGGAGAGGCGAGUGGAAUACCGAGUGUAGAGGUGAAAUUCGUAGAUAUUCGGUGGAACACCAGUGGCGAAGGCGACUCGCUGGACUGAUACUGACGCUGAGGUGCGAAAGCGUGGGGAGCAAACAGGAUUAGAUACCCCAGUAGUCCCUGAGCGGGCUGGCAAGGCGCAU
This 447-nucleotide ribosomal RNA is filed under the name uncultured bacterium. RNAcentral's name for it is "bacterial SSU rRNA". It matches the Rfam family "Bacterial small subunit ribosomal RNA", at positions 355 to 825 of the family's 1533-position model. The record is from RNAcentral.